UAUUAUUAUUUUAGAAAUAAAACUUUACAACUUCCUAAGUAUUAAAAACUACUGCAACUCAACAAGCACUAAGAGUUGUUUAAUUGAUGUUAAUAGAAUAUGAUUAUUAUAAAUUCUAAAGUGAUAAAACUAUUUGUUACAUGAAAAUAUGGGAAAUAUGACUAAACUUGUUAAGUUUCUGUACGUUAUGGUUAUCUUUCUCUCCAUUAAUAAUUUUAUUGCAAUGAAUGAUAAUCCUGUUAUUAGAUGUAUUACCGAUUUAAAUUGUCCACCAGACAUGUGCCCGUCUAAUAAGAUUGCAAAGUGCAAGGACGCUCAUUGUAAAUGUAUGCCACUACAAUCUCAUGGACGUGGUAUUUUUUUCCCACAUGAUAUGCCACUAUAAUCUCAUGGAAGUGGUAUUUUUUUCCCACAUGAUUAUGUAUUUACUGCUAGUUCCAAGAGAAUAUACACACAACAUACUAAAAUGUUAUAUGAGUUAUCAUUUAGCAAUUGUGCUGGCAUCUAGUAAUUUGAAUUUGAUUUUUUUCUUUCUAAUUUCAAUAAAUUUGUGAUUAUGGCAUUGUAAUCUAAAAAGAUGAUAAUGAAAUAAAAAAAUACCAUAAAUAAUAAUAUUAUUUGAGUAAACUAUUAAA
This is a long non-coding RNA of Vicia villosa (hairy vetch), 635 nucleotides long. RefSeq lists it as uncharacterized. NCBI's taxonomy places the organism in Eukaryota, Viridiplantae, Streptophyta, Magnoliopsida, Fabales, Fabaceae. The record is from RefSeq and is a predicted model, not a curated record. The transcript is spliced from 2 exons.